AGCCCCGUAGUGAGUAACACGUCAAAUUGCAAAUUUGAAAGAAUUCCCUAUUUUGGUGCCGGGGCUU
Molecule: transfer RNA, 67 nt
Filed under: Bavayia nubila
Lineage: Eukaryota; Metazoa; Chordata; Lepidosauria; Squamata; Diplodactylidae
Description: tRNA-Cys
Source: RNAcentral